AUGACUACUGGUAAACUCAAGGGAGACUUAAGGGAAAAGAUGCAACUCGGUCUGAUGCAGAAACAUGAAUACAAACUAUCUGUCUCAGUGCAGGCUCAACCUUUCCAACAUGCAGAAUCAUCAAGUAACAACUUCGAUAGUGGCUGCCAUAAUGUGAUGUUAUUGAAGGAUGUUUUUCUGAUGCAAAGUAGGGCGAGGUAUCAUUUGUCAAGCACCAAGUUUCAGCGUGUAGUAAAUUAUAAUGCAGAAGAGAGCGACUGA
Non-coding RNA from Vicia faba (fava bean), 261 nucleotides. NCBI's taxonomy places the organism in Eukaryota, Viridiplantae, Streptophyta, Magnoliopsida, Fabales, Fabaceae. The record is from the annotation of a GenBank genome assembly.